This 245-nucleotide ribosomal RNA is filed under the name Neodesmus pupukensis. RNAcentral describes it as "partial small subunit ribosomal RNA". It matches the Rfam family "Eukaryotic small subunit ribosomal RNA", at positions 156 to 402 of the family's 1831-position model. The record is from RNAcentral. Lineage: Eukaryota; Viridiplantae; Chlorophyta; Chlorophyceae; Sphaeropleales; Scenedesmaceae.
UUCUAGAGCUAAUACGUGCGCAAAUCCCGACUUCUGGAAGGGACGUAUUUAUUAAAUAUAAGGCCGACCGGGCUCUGCCCGACUCGCGGUGAAUCAUGAUAACUUCACAAAUCGCAUGGCCUCGUGCCGGCGAUGUUUCAUUCAAAUUUCUGCCCUAUCAACUUUCGAUGGUAGGAUAAAGGCCUACCAUGGUGGUAACGGGUGACGGAGGAUUAGGGUUCAAUUCCGGAAAGGAAGCCUGAAAA